AGGUGGCGAUUAUGAACGUCAAACACAUGCGCAGUGGCCUGUUGUGUUUAGCCAAUCCCCAACGCUUCACGAAAGGAUGGCAGGGUACGGUUUAUUCUGCUCUACAAUGACAAUGAAAUGCCUUGUGACCAAUACACCCGUGUGGUUUUGUAUGAGUAACCUGUUGUAUAAUACUCCGACAUGUGAAUACGCAAAGAAAAUGGACCUGAGCCCUAGGACCAUGCCCCAGGACUACCUGACAUGAUGACUCCUUGCUGUCCCCAGUCCACCUGGCCAUGCUGCUGUUCCAGUUUCAACUGACCUGAGCCCUAGGACCAUGCCCCAGGACUACCUGACAUGAUGACUCCUUGCUGUCCCCAGUCCACCUGGCCAUGCUGCUGCUCCAGUUUCAACUUCCACCUGACUGUGCUGCUGCUCCAGUUUCAACUGUUCUGCCUUAUUAUUAUUCGACCAUGCUGGUCAUUUAUGAACAUUUGAACAUCUUGGCCAUGUUCUGUUAUAAUCUCCACCCGGCACAGCCAGAAGAGGACUGGCCACCCCACAUAGCCUGGUUCCUCUCUAGGUUUCUUCCUAGGUUUUGGCCUUUCUAGGGAGUUUUUCCUAGCCACCGUGCUUCUACACCUGCAUUGCUUGCUGUUUGGGGUUUUAGGCUGGGUUUCUGUACAGCACUUUGAGAUAUCAGCUGAUGUACGAAGGGCUAUAUAAACAAAUUUGAUUUGAUUUGAUUUGAACAGACGCUUUUUUACCGAGCUCCGUACCAAACUUCAGAAAGAUUGUGAAAUAUUUUUUUUUAAAGUUUAGUCAUUAUUAUUUUUAUUUGUUCAAGAUAUAAGACCUUUCCUGUGACUGGAAUGAUAAUUGGAUAAUUUAUUUCAGCAUGUCCAUGCAAAGUCGUGACAAAAAAAGAAAGGAAAAAGUUAGCCAUUCUAUUGCUAAUCAACAAGAGAGAAACGUGCUUAUAGACAACUGCCAUAACUACACUUGGCCUAUGGAUAAUAUCAUGCUUUCGAAUGCUGAAGAUGACGAAUUCCCCUCUUUACCAGUUACUCCGUGCAAACCUCCACCCUCCAAAAAACCCAACAUGAACUCUGACAUCGUGGCUACCCUCUCCUUACUCAUCAACUCCAGGUGUGACGCCAUUGAGAAAAUGGUAGGCGUGAACACCAUGGUUAUCGAAGGCUUGAAAAAGACUGUAGUUUGCAUGUGGUGAAAUUAAUGAUGUGAAAACGAGAGUGGCAAAAGUUGAAAAAAAUGUGGAAAGGGUGGAAAAGAAUAACAAUGUCUACCAUAGACGUCUCACUGAUCUGGAACAAUACACAAGAAAAUGGAACCUGAGACUCUACGGCUUGCCAGAGGUGGAGAAUGAAGAUGUGCGAGGAGAGGCUAUCCGUAUCUGCCAAGAAGUUUUGCCUGCAGAGAAGAACAAAGUUGGUGAUACCAUCGACGUUGUACAUCGCCUCGGCAAGAAGCAACAGCAAAGCAAUUCAAGACCCAGGGGUAUCAUCAUCCUAUUCACUACCAGAUUCUACAGGGAUGCUGUCUGGAAAGCUGCUAGGAAGAACACCUUCCUUCAGAGCCAUGGUAUGCGUUUCGCCGAGCAUCUCAGCCCGGAAGACAUAGAAAGAAGGAACAAGUUGUGGCCAACGAUCAAGAUAGCAUGAAGUGAGGGGAAGGCUGCUUACUUCGUCGCCGGAGGACGAGGUUUCAUCAACGGUUCAGAAAUCCAUAUUCCUCCCUAAAAUCUCACCAGAAGGAACAGGUUGAUGGUUUCAGCCAUGGUAUUCUCAUUUUCCUUAUGUGGUUUAUCUAACAAGCAUCAGGUGACUAUUUUACAGGAAUACUCAGGUAUUUCAAUUCAUUAGUUUGUUCUUGUAUGACCAGAAGUCCUAUUUUGUUUACAAACUUACGAAGAAGAUUGAAAGCUGAAUUUAUGUUUUAUGUAUAGAGUAACUAAGAUACUGUUUUAAAUGACAUACAGGUCUGCUCUGACUUUACACGGUUAUUGUUCUAUUUAGUUAUUAAUACUUAUUUCCAAAAAAGGUCUUAGGACCGUUUAUAUGUAAAACAUUUUGUUAUUCAAUUAUUUUAUGAUCAGUUUUCAUAUGUACUUAAAAUAGUAGGUACCCUUUUAUUUAAAUUAUUAUUUGUUGUUUUAUUUCUCAGAAUAGUUCCUGAUUACACUAAAGAGGGUUUUUAGUCUCUCUUACUACAAGAACCCUUGGUUUGGUCUUGAACAUAAUUUCCAGUUGAGUUGAAUUUCAAAGGUUAUGGAAUAAGCUAUUUUCACUUUAAAUUGACUUAAAUGGUGCAGAUCUCGGUUCCUUAUCGUUUACGUUCACUGCUCCUACGUCUUUGACUCAUCCUACUACAGUUUAUACUUUUAUAUAAUCUUUGUUGUGUUGUCUUUGUCUAUAGUUUCUCUUAAUGCUAGGGGGUUACGAAACAGUGUGAAGCGCAAGGCCUUAUUUUUAUUUGCUAAACCAUUUCAAACAGAUUUUUGCUUUUUUCAAGAGUCUCACUCAAUUUCUGCUGAUGUCAACUUCUGGAGGUCACAGUAGGGCAACGAUAUUUGGCUUUCCCAUGGAUCUGAACGCUCUGCUGGUGUCACUACAAUGAAAAAUAUCUUUGGUGGUAAUAUUCUACACUCGGAAUGUGACCCCUUUGGUCACUUUAUUUGUCUUGUGAUCAGUUACAAUGACAUUACACUCAUUACUGUAAACUUCUACGGGUACAACACCAAACAUGAGAAUGAUGAGUUGCUUGAAUCUAUAGAGAAACAUAUACUUCAUUGGUUAUCUAAAUUUCCCAAUUCGUUAUUAUUGAUAGGAGGGGACUUUAACAUUACAAUAAAUAAUUCAACUGAUAGAUGGCCCCCAGGUAGGCCAACCAAUCAGAAUUUGGGUUUAAUACUUUUUAUGGAAAAGUUUGAUCUUACUGAUAUAUGGAGAGAGAGGUUUCCGGCCGAAAGAUCAUUCACUUGGAGUAACAAAACAGGCUCCAGACAAUCCAGAAUAGAUUUUUGGCUUAUAUCCAAAUGUAUUGAUAGUGAGUGUGUUACUACAAAUAUUUGUACUACACCCCUCACAGACCAUAAGGCUAUUUACAUUGAUAUCAAAAUAUUUACCCCUGAUACAAACCUUGAUAGAGCAUCCUACUGGAAGCUAAAUAGCUCAUUAUUAAAUAAUGAUAUAGUUACAUUUGAGGUUAAAGAUCUGCUCUCACACUUUUGGGAAAGGGCUUGUGAAGAAAAAUCUUAUUGCAAGAACUGGGAGCUCUUUAAAUUUGAGGUGUCCAAAUAUUUUAGAAAAUAUGGUAGUAAUCUUGCUAAGACCAGAAGAGCUGAGGAGGAAAAGGUGAUCAUUAAGAUAACUUCCCUUUCGCAGAGGUCCCCAGCUGACCUCUUGGGGGAGGAGAAGAUGGAACUAAUUGAGUUACAAAAUAAACUGGAUAAUAUAUAUAAAUUAAAAGCAGAAGGAGCCUUUAUUAGAUCUAGGAAAAAUGGAUUGAGGAGGGAGAACAUAAUUCAUCCUAUUUCUUUAGACUUGAGAAAUUUCACUCUAAAAAUAACACUAUCCAUAAGUUAAACAUUGAUGGUGUUAUUACAGAUGACCAAAAAUUAAUCGCUAAAUACUGCAGCAAUUUUUACAGAAAAUUGUAUAGCUCUACGUACUGUCAGGAAUCCACAGAUAUGUUUUUUAACUCACUGAAUAAUGUUCACUCUAUCAGUGAUAUAGAAUCUAAACAGUGUGAUGAACCCAUCAAAAUUGAAGAUAUUAUAGAGUCUAUCAAACAUCUAAAGAACAAUAAAUCACCAGGUGUUGAUGGAAUUACAUCAGAAUUUUACAAAUUAUUUUCUGAACAAGUAGCUCCCUUCCUAUUUGAAGUCUUUUUAGAGAGUAUUAAAAACAAUGUUCUCCCUCCUACAAUGAGUCAGGGGUUAAUAACACUGAUACCUAAGCCUAAAAAGAAGUGCUGCUCAUCGAUAACUGGCGUCCAAUUUGUCUUCUUAAUAAUGACUAUAAGAUAUUAGCCUCACUACUUGCAAAAAUAAUUAAAGAAGUCCUGGAUGCAAUCAUUGAUGAAACACAGUCUGGCUUCAUGAGGAACAGACAUAUUUCUAACAAUGUCAGACUAGUAUUAGACGUACUUGACUACUCAGACCUAAUAACUGAGGAUAGCUUCAUAUUAUUUUUAGAUUUUUAUAAAGCAUUUGACACAGUAGAGCAUCAGUUUCUCUUCCAUUCCCUUGAGAGACUUGGUUUUGGGGAUUUUUUCUGUAAGGCUAUUAAGACUCUCUAUGCAAAUGGUAACAGCUCUAUCAAAUUGAAACAUGGCACCUCACCUAGAUUUGAGUUAAAGAGAGGAAUUAGGCAAGGUUGUCCUAUCUCUCCGUACCUGUUUUUAUUAAUCACCCAACUUCUUGCAAAUUCUUUAAAUAAUAGUCCUGUACAAGGUAUUUCCCGCUGGUAAAGAAAUUAUUAUAAGCCAGCUGGCUGACGAUACUACACUUUUUCUGAAAGACGCUAACCAAAUUCCCAUAUCGAUCAAUGUGAUACAAUCCUUUUCCAAAGCGUCUGGUCUAUAUCUUAACAUUAAGAAAUGUGAACUCAUGGCUAUCAAAGAUUGUGUGACACCUUCAUAUUAUGGUAUUCCAGUAAAAGAAGAACUUACAUAUUUAGGCAUAACCAUUACAAAGGAUCAGAAGUCUAGAGGCUUACUAAAUUUUAACCCUCUUAUUUAAAAAACCCAGAAGAAACUAAAUCAAUGGCUACAGAGGGACUUAUCUUUAAAAGGUAGAGUCCUAAUAACCAAGGCUGAAGGUAUCUCUAGACUAACAUAUGGUGCUCUAUCUUUAUAUCUUGACCGUAAAAUAAGCAAGGAGGUAGACCAGAUGCUUUUCAACUUUCUUUGGAGAAACCAUACCCAUUACAUUAGGAAAACUGUUGUAAUGAACACAUGAGAAUGGUGGACUGAAUUUUCUGGAUUUUACUACUUUAAAUAAUACUUUCAAGAUCAAUUGGAUAAAACAAUUCCUAAGAAGACCCACUUCUAUCUGGAAUUUUAUUCCUCAUCAUGUCUUCUCUACUUUUGGUGGCCUUAACUUCAUGUUGUUUUGCAAUUAUAAUAUUGACAAAGUUCCAGUGAAACUUUCUGCUUUUCAUCGGCAGGUUUUCUUGUCAUGGUCCUUAAUUUAUAAACACAAUUUUUCUCCACACAGAUAUUAUAUAUGGAAUAAUCGGGAUAUAUUGUAUAAAAAUACCUCUCUGUUUUUAGAAUAUUGGUUGAGAAAUAAUAUCCUAUUGGUGAGCCAACUGGUAAAUGCAGAGGGUCUUUUACUCAGUUAUAAAGAAUUCUUAUCACUUUACAAGGUCCCUGUAACACCUAAAGAUUUUGCAAUUGUUUUAGAUGCCAUUCCCUCAGGUGUUGCUAUGUUAUUCAGGAACAUGUCAAGACCUGACCCUCAGAGCCUACCUUCUAUUGACCCUGUUGACUCAUCAGUAGGAAAGAUUUGUUUCUCUUUUGGUCCAUUCAACAACAGAGCGAUACGAUCCUUGUUUCAGCAGGAUGUUGUAUCUAUACCUUAUGUCAUGCCUUAUUGGAAUGGAUUUAUUGAUAAUAUCUGUUGGAAAAAAGUUUGGAUGUUGCCACACACAUACCUACUUGUUAACAAAAUUAAGGAAGUUUCCUUUAAAAUUAUUCAUAAAUAUUAUCCUGCCAACCACUAUAUGAAGAAGUUUAAGGAAAACAUCAACUCAAAUUGCUCCUUUUGUAAUGACCACCCAGAAACAGUUGUGCAUCUUUUUUGGCAUUGUAUGCAUGUAAGAAAACUGUGGCAAGACAUCAGUAGGUUUAUAAUUGAACACAUUUAUGAAGAUUUUACACUAUUGUGGAGAGAUGUACUGUUUGGAUUCUUUACAUACAAUAGAAAUAAGCGGAAUCAUUUUUAUGUAAUUAAUUUCAUUAUUCUUUUGGCCAAAUUUCAUAUACACAAAUGUAAAUUUACAAACAGAAAACCACAUUUUCGUACCCUACAAAAAGAAAUUGAACUGUAUUUUAAGACGGUUAAAUGCUCUACUAACAAAAAAGCUGUUAGAAUUGUAAGUAUAUGCAUGUCCCUUAAGGUCCUUGUGUAAUUGUAAUGUGAUAUUGUACCCCCUAGCUCGAUUGUCUAUUGUUUGUAAUCUAUGUAUGCUUGUGUUCCCUCAUGUGCUUUAUGUAUUGAUUUGUUGUUAAUAAAAAAAAUAUUAAAAAAUAAA
Long non-coding RNA from Oncorhynchus nerka (sockeye salmon), 6257 nucleotides. RefSeq lists it as uncharacterized. The record is from RefSeq and is a predicted model, not a curated record. The transcript has 2 exons. NCBI's taxonomy places the organism in Eukaryota, Metazoa, Chordata, Actinopteri, Salmoniformes, Salmonidae.